This 201-nucleotide ribosomal RNA is filed under the name uncultured bacterium. RNAcentral's name for it is "partial 16S ribosomal RNA". It matches the Rfam family "Bacterial small subunit ribosomal RNA", at positions 524 to 724 of the family's 1533-position model. The record is from RNAcentral.
UACGGAGGGAGCUAGCGUUGUUCGGAAUUACUGGGCGUAAAGCGCACGUAGGCGGCUUUCUAAGUCGGGGGUGAAAUCCUGGAGCUCAACUCCAGAACUGCCUUCGAUACUGGAGAGCUUGAGUCCGGGAGAGGUGAGUGGAACUGCGAGUGUAGAGGUGAAAUUCGUAGAUAUUCGCAAGAACACCAGUGGCGAAGGGCG